GAGCAGUGACGAAAGCUGCGCUCUUUGUGGUGAUUGGGUUGCCACAGUCUGCCUGAUCUUUGAUCGGACGAAAACAGCGCAUCUGAGCUC
Molecule: small nucleolar RNA, 90 nt
Filed under: Ipomoea nil (Japanese morning glory)
Lineage: Eukaryota; Viridiplantae; Streptophyta; Magnoliopsida; Solanales; Convolvulaceae
Description: small nucleolar RNA snoR114
Rfam family: small nucleolar RNA snoR114
Source: Rfam by way of RNAcentral